UUCAGUUCUGUGCGUUACGGAGUAUAGCACAGAACGUAUGUCUAAACAUAACGCACCGCACAAAACAGGUAUAUGUGCGGUUCGUUCAUGCGUGUGGUUGUCACGUGAGUGAUGGUCACUCAGGUGGACAUAGGCGGGAAUUUGCACGGGGUGUUCAUUGUUUGGUCAGUUCUACGCUAGACUUCGAUCAGUAAACUUGUGUUCGUGUACAAAUCCUACAUCGUGUUGUCGACUUUAGCAAAACACAGGGUGUCCAUGCUGCAAGAUUUGGAACGCAUCAUAGAAAAGAUAAGUGCUAAAAAGAAACGUAAAUCUUUUAAAUCCGUUAUACUGAAUCUCGAGCAUAGUAUCCAGUGUUACGAAGUAGUAACAGGGUUGAAACGAUGUAUAUUUCAAGUAACAAUUUCAGCACUAGAGAAAGCCGAUCAAUUUACAAAUAGAAAUAUUGAUGGCACGUGACCGAAAAUUCACAGGUCAUUAAUGGUAUAACACGACAAAAGCUUUCGAACUUACUGGGGAAUAAAUUGCUAUUCUGUGUGGUGUUUUAUACAUUCUAUAUGUAUACGUGUAAAUGUUUUACGAGUCUGAUGACGUAAUGUUAUUUGCAGAAAAAUACAAGGUAGAGGCGAUGGCAUAUAAAAAGGCGCAUACAUAACGCCACGCGGCGUUCUUGACGGGUCAUAUCAGAAGCCGGAAGCUUCAUCUAACAUCGCAACACAAGGGGCUGAAACUCAAUUACCAUUGAGACGCACAGGACUAUGUUUCGCAUGUGGUGAACCGGGUCAUCGAAAAGGAGCAGCUGAAUGUUCAGCAAACAGCUCGACCAAUAAGAAAUGUUUUGAGAGGUACUCUGAAGGAGCGAUUAGAGGGCUCGGGCUUAGAACAAUCAAGAGCAGACAAUACGGUGAAGAAAAGAAUUCUUCAUGUGCACAUUUCAAAUACUGUGAAGAAAAUGUAGUCGCCAUGACAGCCUUACAUAUAUCAGUAGUAAUGUAAAUGGCUCAAUUGAUGGAUCGAGGAAAUCUAAUAACGUUUUUUACAUCUAUGUUUUACAGUAUUAAAUAGAUCCAUUCUAUUAAUAGUGUACAUGAUCCAAAGAAAGAUUUAACAAACUAUUAUAAGAAGCUUCAAGCGUGUGUGUUUCAAACCAUCUCACAAGAAAGAUGUAUCAUGUACAUGUGCAUUCAUUAGAGAUGAUACAAACAAUGUGUUUGAUAUAAGGAGAUUCCACUGUUUUCAUUGAUUGAUCAUUUUUGGUUUAUGCAUGUACAUGUAUCAUGCAUAUUAACAAAUUAAGUGAGUUUCAUUGUAAUGACCUACAAUUGAAAUCUGAUCACUUUGUUAUUAAUGUACGCCAUUAUAAUACUGGCAUGUAUACGAAUGGUUCGGAUAUUAUAAUUACAAAAUGUACAACUACAACUUCCCAUAUGGCGUUUUAUUAACAAAUAUAGAAUUAGCAAAUUGGUCAGAUGAAUCAAAUGAUUUUUUGUUCAAAUCAGUUAUUGGUAAUAUAUAUGUAAGUUAUAUAUAUGUAAUUAUUUAGACCAGCUAACGCCGAGGGCGUGUUUGAGAGAUGUGUGAAGCGACAUGGUCGAUGGAAGUCUGAUAGGGCUAAAGAUGGGUACAUUGAUGAUUCUCUAGACAAAAACCUUUUUAUCACUAGACAAUUGAAAUUAUAAUUGAUUUGCGGUUCGAAUUUAAAACUUUACUAACCUUUGAUUUUGUUCUAUCGCAAGCCUUGCCCAAUGCAAAACGUGUUGUGUUUUGUGCUUAGUUGUGUGAAGACUUUUCAGUUCUGUGCGUUACGGAGUAUAGCACAGAACGUAUGUCUAAACAUAACGCACCGCACAAAACAGGUAUAUGUGCGGUUCGUUCAUGCGUGUGGUUGUCACGUGAGAGAUGGUCACUCAGGUGGACAUAGGCGGGAAUUUGCAAGGGGUGUUCAUUGUUUGGUCAGUUCUACGCUAGACUUCGAUCAGUAAACUUUUACUUUUUAAAUUUGAACCGCAUUAGUAGUAAAUUGGCUCAAAUGACAUGUUAUGUUUGUGUUACAUAAUGUUAAGUUACAUGUAAAUAUUGGCUGUUUUCAGGUACAGUUUUCCAGAGUUAUUUUACAUUGGGCUUCUGAUGAAUUUGUAUCUCUGGUUUUUUACCCUGGCCUUGAAAACACCAAUUAAGGACACAAUACUAGAAGUGAUGUAUACACAUUAUAGUUAUAAUUUGUUAUAUAAUUUAUAGAUCGAAAAUUGUCCUGUCAAGGUUGUACUACGAUUGUACUUGAUUGCUAUAUGAUACGAAUAUGUAAUAUUCGUGGAUGUGUGUUGUCAAUAAACUGAUCGCAAGCCUUGCCCAAUGCAAAA
This is a long non-coding RNA of Dreissena polymorpha, 2360 nucleotides long. RefSeq lists it as uncharacterized. The record is from RefSeq and is a predicted model, not a curated record. The transcript has 2 exons. Lineage: Eukaryota; Metazoa; Mollusca; Bivalvia; Myida; Dreissenidae.